Ostrea edulis (European flat oyster) is the source of this 5701-nucleotide long non-coding RNA. RefSeq lists it as uncharacterized. NCBI's taxonomy places the organism in Eukaryota, Metazoa, Mollusca, Bivalvia, Ostreida, Ostreidae. The record is from RefSeq and is a predicted model, not a curated record. The transcript has 3 exons.
ACACCAAACUUUGAAUUUCCGAUUAUAAAUCACAUCACUUCUAACUGUCCCUCUCUAAACAAUCUCCUUGUUCAUUGUCCACAAGGAUGUUCUAUAUAUUGUACAUGCAGUUAUCAGCUAAUAUUCCCAGCUACAGGAUCGCUGAACUGAUCUUGAUAAUGAAAACUGCCAGAGAAAUUGACAUACAUGCAUAAAAUGCCGAAGGAUCAGCAGGUCAGCAAGUGAAGAUAACCAUAAAACACAGAAGAGUUACUGAGGAGCAGAGGAUUUCUCCCCUCAGUCUCGAUCUCCAGGAUGUUCCACAGUGCAAGGGGAGGUAAACAGCCAGUUAGACAGCUCAUGAUGCAGGUCCACCUCCAAGUUGGCUAAUCAUUUGACAGUAUUCAAAAGAUCUGGGUUCAUUUCAAAGAGAGUUAAUCCAGGUAAAAACAGAAAAAAAUUCAUAUAUUUCUUGUUUGUUUAUUUUUAUAUUUUCACCUGAAUCCAAAUCCAUAAGAUUUAAUUUAAAUUUAGCAUUUCUGUACCUAUAGCUCAUACACAUUAUGAGCUCAUGCUUAUUGAAUAACAAUCUCAUAUUUGUUUACUUUGAUAUUUACUGACCUACUUUGAUGAAUUCAGAGAAUAUACAUUACAUUGUGCUUUAAUUUUCCAAGAAAGACAGGUAAAUCAUUCAGUCAUGUACUGAACAAAUUUAAAUGCUGUUUUGUCAUAAGUGCCUGUUCAGUGAAUUGUAUAUAUUAUUUAAUAUCUUCAAAAUCACAUUUUCAAAAACACAUUUUUAUCUUUCACAUUUUGGCACGGCACACUAAGGUGUGCCCUAUCUCAACAUUUCAUUAUACAAGUGCACACGACACACAACUUUGAUAUACAUCCUGUUCAAAACUUGAUGUAGGCAACACCAACUCAAUCAUAUGCGUCAUUCAUUUCUAUUCAAUCCUACGCCACAGAUUAUGCAAUACAUGUGGUUCAAGGAGAGACAUUGUGUAUCUCACAUGACAGAGUAAACCUCAUCAUAUUUUGCAUGUAUUAAGAAAUCUACAUUUAAAUAUGUGAAGUGUGGUUUUGUUCUCGAUGGAAAUAUACCUGAACAUCAAGGAUUCCUGGCUCCUGGGUCAUUUGAUUUUGUAUUUUUUUGACACACGAUUUACAGGUCAUGCCUUCAAUAUGAAGUUCUGUUACUUUCUCCAUUUUGUCUUUUUCUUCUACAUAAAGAAAGAUAAAAACUAGUCAUUUUUAAUCUGCAUCAUAAAACAAUAAAACAUGUAUAGUUAUGCCCCACUUGUACAAUUAAGUUAAGAGAAUAUUUUCACAUAACAUUAAUUACAUCAUCCCAUUUCUGUUAAAUCCAAGUUCAUAAUACAAAUAUGUACAUAUAUCUUUAACUAAAACCACAAACAUAAGAAAUACAGGUGACUCUCGAUGACUCAAACUUCGAUCUCUCGAAGUUCUUGAUUACUUGAAGUGAAAUCAUGGUCUCGAUUUUUCUCUCUAUAAAACUAAGCAAAUUUACUCUCGAUCUCUCGAACAUUCGAUCUCUCAAUGAAAGUUCUCGAUCUUUCCAAGUGAAAUUUGGGUCCCAUACAACAUACAUGUAUUUCAUUGUUUUUAACUCUCCAUCUCUCCAAGUGGUGGCAGCAUAUACACAUCAUCACUCAAGCAUGGAAUUAUUUGGACUUAAUAAUGAGACAUUACAUUUGUAAUUAUAAGAAUAUAAUCUAGAGACAUGCCAAGGAAACAUUGUUAUUUAUUGGUCCAGGAAUGUGUGCUUUGUGUACAACGACUGGAAUUUGAGAUGAUAUUAUUAAGUAGGUAUUGACGGCAAAACUUUGUUAUGUACGAGAAAUUUGUCUUGUAAAUAUGUACAUGUACAUCUAUCUUAACAUUAAAAAAGAAUAAAUACAUACCUAAACUUUAAAAAAUCUAUCUAUGAAAGAUCAAGUCCAGUGCUGUUGAAAUCAGGUCAAUUAUUACCUACUACUAUAAAGGACAUGUCAAAACAAUGCCAGGAUGUUGAUGUACUCCAGUUAUUAUAAAUUCGAGAGAGGUUUUUCUAAGUUGCUAGAACUUGUAACCAAUCCCUUUGUAUAUUCAUAUACAAUAAAAUAUGUUCAAAUCAAAUAUAAAAUCUGAACCAUAAUGGCCAUCCUUUAAUUUCCGGAUUUGACUCGACCUUCGAUUUCUCAAUCUCGUAAUUUUAUCAAGGUCCCUUGAACUUCGAGAUAUCGAGAGUCACCUGUACUGUAACUGCAUUCCCAUGAUUCCUUGUUCUGCAUAGGGUUUAUACGUAUAUCAUGCACUUUGUAACCUAUAUCAUGCACUCUGUAUAUAGUGAUCAGUAAAACAGUGUUACUGUCUGAUUUUUUAAAUGAUCAUGAAGCUAGCUAGAUGAUGCUACAGUUUUGAUAAAUAAUAUAUGUAUCCCCAAUAUUACAAUGGAAACAGAAAAGUUACAUAAUAUACUUCUACUAUCAUCAGUUAAAGAGAUAUCUAUGGAUUUCAAAUAAAACCUGUUCUACUGACUUGUCAAUGCUUAAAAAUUAAUAUCAAAAAACAAAUAAAUUCAUAGACACAUGUGAACAUUUCAUCAAUAUUUUUUCUACACAGGAUAUUAUUUUCAUGACCAUAUAUGAUUUUCGCUUCCUGGACAAAAUUAAGUGUACGUAUAAUUCACUCCAAUCACCAGCGUAUCUUUUCCCUAUUAAACUUUUUCUCUUCCCCUUUAUCCCCCUCUCUGUUUUGUUUACUUUGUAUGUGAAGUAAUCUUCAAUCUAUGUUUACUCAAACUCUUUACACUAUUUCUUGUUGAUGUUUUUCAUUCCAUGACAUUACGUAAUUUUUCUCUCGUGAUGAAGGAUCACCCUCACCUUCAGGAGGUGGUUUUCAUAAACUCCGCCUGCUGUCUAAUCGCUAUUAUGACUUACACAACAAAUAUUGUUUAAAUCAAUUCUGCAGCUAAAAUUAAUUUCUUCUAUUCACAAUCACAUCAAUUCAAUUACUAUAUGGGUAGUGCUUAAUUUUAUUCUCAUUUGUAAUGUUGUCCUAAAAAACAGGAAGUUCUUUUUUUAGACAUAACUUGAUAUUACUGUCAUGCAUCAAUUUGGAAAAUGCUAUCACUUUAACACUUCUCGCUAGCAACAAUUCCAACUGUUAAUUAACACUCAAUUAUCAACAGCAAAAUUACUACCAAUACAGAGUCCCUUCCUUUUAUGAUAUUGUGUGAAUUUAAGUACACUUAAACCUAUAUACAUCUGUAAUAUGAAAAUACAGCUCAGUGUGGAACUCUCCUGGGUAUACGCUAAGGAUGAAACUCGACACCGAGUCUUUGAACUACAUUAACUAUGAUUAUGAUGAUGUUAACUUGUUAGUACCAAGUUCCCCAUUCACUACUUCAUUCUUCAAAUUUCCAGCACUCUUAACAAUGGCUCUACAUUUUUGUUUUCUCAAUUUAAGAGAAGAAAACAUGGUGAGAACAGCUAAGGAAAAAAAACACCUCCAUUAACCUUUUAAAAUUGCUGACAUUUUAUACACUUGUUGCUUACAUGUACACAUGUUUAUAUUUAGUUUCUUUUUACAUUUAUACAAAAUCAAGUACAUAUAUAUAUGACACUUUAACAAUAUACAAAUACCAUAUUAAAAAAAAAAAAAAAAAAAAAAAAAAAAUAUGACAGCUUGACCAUCAAAAGCCCAUAAGCAGAUGAAAGAAAUCAACGACAGAAAUUUCAUGUGUGCCACCUCAAUGUCACAAAAUUACAACACUUACCCGACAUUGUGAUGGGAUCCUGGUAACUUGUAAAGUAAGAAUAUCAAUUUUAUUAAAGAUACUACAUCUGUAAACCUGAACACUCCUUUUUUGUGAUAAGCAGAGAAAGGUUGACUAUUAAACUAUUCUGAAAAGUAAAUAAACAUGUCUAUACCCUCACAUCCUGUUUCGAUUACUAUUGGCAUACCUUUUUUUUUCUAGUUAAAUCUACAGCACAUCAUGAUCCAACUACCACAGCACGUUCUGGAUGGUUAGGUUUUACAGAGUGUUCAUAUACCAGUUAAGAUGUCACGUUGAGGAGGAAUUGUACCAAAUACCAUUACCUAAAAAGUCCUACGCUUCAUAGAUAGAGCUAUUAUACUAAAUGUCGCAAAAUACAUAAAAAAAAAGGUACAAUAACUCUCAUUUAAGGCCAUACACGACAUUUCUGACUUUUUUAAAAAAAAAACAAAACUCAUUUCCUCAUCUUGAUAUGAAGAGUUGUAUGAUUUUUCUGAGAUAGAUUUAGAUUUUCUAUAUUGUAGUAUUGUUACCAUACUACAUAUAUUGGCUGAUUAACUCGUGGUUAGAUCACCUAAUAUUAAAUAAGUAAUGUAGAGGUCCAAGGUUCAAUACCCAAUUGAUCCAAGGAUUUCUCUCCCCUUCUUUGCUAAACUUGUAUUAUUUACAUGUACACACACACACUUCACAGUUUUACUUGCAACAACUGGCAACUAUAAAAUAUCCUAACUCUAAAAUACUCCAGUGUUUUUGUAGAAACAAUAUAGGAUGCAAGUGAAAUGUACAUGUACUUGAAAUGUCACAUUUCAGAAAUAUAAAGUAUGACCUUAAUCUGACUUUUACUUGCUGACUUGGUUGUAUGCGUACAUAGGCAAUUAGAUAAUUUGGGUUUGAAUUUAUCAUUAAAGAGUACCCAUGCAAGCAGUAUAAUUGUCUGUAUAUGUACAUAGGUAAUGGGACCUAUUUUUAAUGAAAAAUUCCACUUUCUGUGCAUUUGUGUUUUAAACAUGAAAGAUAAAGCAAUAUACACGUACAUACUAAGGCUUCUUCCAGGGUCUGUAGAAACAAAAUUUUCAAAUGCAUCAUUGUUGAUGUAAGAGUUACUGUUCUUUGCAAGAUAUUUUUUUUUUUCAACUUUAAUGUCAUUGAUUAUUCUGAUAAGUAAUCACUAUAUGUAAAUAUGUGUAUUGUUUUUGUCAUGCAACAUGCUUAUUCAAUUGAUACCAAAAUAUAACCAUGCCAUCUAUUAAUCAAUAGUCUGUAUGUACAUCUUCUCUUUCAGAGAAUAUUGCUAUAUUACAGACACAUAUAAUAUAUUCUUUAAGUUUAUUUUUUACCACAACUGUCUUGAUGUAACAUAACAGUGUAUGUAGGGAAAUAGUCCCUUUAUUGUGAUUUCUAAACAUAAUCCUGCAUGUGUGUAUGGAAAAAAUCUUUGUCUCAUUAUGUUUUUUUCAGUUAUUUAAAUACAGCUUCAGAUGGUACAUGGUUAUUCAACCCCGGCUUAAUGUAGCCUAUCAGAAUACAUCCUUCUAGUUAAAUAAAAAAUAUAUGAAUUAUAUUACUGAAAUGAAAAUUUAUCUAAACAUACUAUCAAAGUGAAUUUAGCAAUAAAUAAUGAUCAUUGUACAAGGUACAUGUAAUAGUAUUCAGACAUUUGGUACUAAUAGUAAUGUAACAGUACUGUUGUUAAAAUUUUCCAAAUUGAUACUAGGAGAAAUACUGUAAUGUAAACCAGAUUAUUCAUAUAAUUUCAUAUUAUAUAGCAUCCUUGUUAUACAGUGCAUUUUCAAUCAGUAUUGUUAUGAGCCAAUUCCAGACCAAUGUCAAUAUAGAAAUCCUUAACAUGUGUGUAUAUGGUAUCAUGUAGUUAUAAUGUUUAAUUGUUUAAAUUGUAUAUGCCCCCUGAGGGCCUGGCUGGUGAAUAAAUAUUAUAUUGUA